This is a long non-coding RNA of Humulus lupulus (European hop), 622 nucleotides long. RefSeq lists it as uncharacterized. The transcript is spliced from 2 exons. The record is from RefSeq and is a predicted model, not a curated record. Lineage: Eukaryota; Viridiplantae; Streptophyta; Magnoliopsida; Rosales; Cannabaceae.
UGGCUACUCUACACAUGAUCAAAUGAGAGAACUCUCUCUCUCUCUCUCACACCCUCUCUAGACUAGGGUUCAGGAUCUAAGGAAGAAGAAUGAUGAGGAUCUCUUCAUAUAUGUAUGGAUCACUAGGCACUCAUGUGGGGACUCAUUUAGGAUGCUUUGGGACAAGAUUUUCAAGGCUUAGGUUGUUGCACAUGAUCUUGGACUCGGCAAGGCACUUGAAGGGAGGUGAUUGUGUCCCUGCUGGACCUAAGGUGAGAAGACUGGUCACUGUAACAUAGGGUGUGCGUUUGAGUGUACAAGGUUUCUAUAUGUGUGAUUUAAUGGUUAUAAUUGUUCAUGUAGCGUCCCAAAGUAGCGUCCCAAAUUUUCUAAUAAGGCUUAGGGUCUUGAUUAGCGUGCUGGGAGGGCAAUAAUUGAUUUAAUUAUGCUAAUAUGUGAAUUAAAUGAUUAUGUGAUUAGAAAUGUAUGUGUUAGGUGAAUUAAAUUUGCAUGUGGGCCCCAUUUGAUUGUUAGGGGCAUAUUUGUAAUUUUAGCCCGUUGAGGGCAUAAAUGUGAUAUAUGUGUAUAUUGUGAUUGAUACCACGAGAGAGUGGUGAUAUAUUUGUGAUGCACGAUUUGAGAU